Suricata suricatta (meerkat) is the source of this 614-nucleotide long non-coding RNA. RefSeq lists it as uncharacterized. The record is from RefSeq and is a predicted model, not a curated record. NCBI's taxonomy places the organism in Eukaryota, Metazoa, Chordata, Mammalia, Carnivora, Herpestidae. The transcript has 3 exons.
UUCAAAACACCCAGGCAUCAGGUGGACCGAGAUAAUGUCAGGGAAGCUCAAUAGGGUUCCUCUCGGGCCCUAAUGAGAAACACAAAGGAACAAAUUAUGGAGACUUUCUAUAGAGCUUUCUGCAUUAGUCUUAUCCUUUGGAGUCCCAGUCAUCUUAGAGCUCAAAAUAAGUUUGUGAGCACUGCAAAGCAGAGGGGAAAAAAACAAGAAAGAAAGAGACUCACCAUCUAGCCAGCUGCGUAGAAAAGGAAAUCCAUUCCCACCUGUCUGCGUUUGAUUGAACCUCAGUGAACUGCCAAUGCCACACUCCCUGGAAGAAACAGAUUAAAGACCUACAGGAGACGUCUUAUAGAUCUUCUUAGACAGCCCGUUUGGAUGGAGUGCCCACUGUGUGCGAGGCCCCAUGCUGGGUGCCGAAGGGAUCUCUGGCAGGAGGGUGGAGAUGAGAUGACGGAGAUGACGCUCUGCCCUACAAGUUUAUGAGUGGCCCUACAGGUGUGAUAACUGUGUGGAUCCAGCUCAUUGUUUACACCCAGGUCUUUGGGAGUAAAAUAGUCCUUAAUCCAGUUUUCCCAGUCAUCCCUCAUACUUUAGGUAAGGGUAGAGGUAUAUAA